AGCUGCAGGAGAUCAAAGUCUUCCAGGAGAUGCAGCUGCUUCAGCUGUCUGCAGACAAUUAUCACCUUCAGCCUGUGGGGCAAUUUUGGGUCUGCCUCCAGUUAAUGGAGUGGCUCAGUAAGACUGAGAGUGGCAGGAGCAUCCCUGCGAGAGGCCUGACCCAGGUGUGUAGCCCAAGCAGCCAGCCCGGAAAUCCAAUGGGGUGUUCUUGGGGUGCAGAGGAUUUGUGACAGUCCAUACACAGAAAAAGGAAAAGGUGGCUUUGAAGAGGCAAGUGCAAAGAUACCAGAGAUGGGGUAUUGUCAUUUUAGGCAGUGAAUUGACGGUUUCACUUACCAGGGAGCUCCCAUCGUGAGCUCCCAAAAGGCCUAACAACUGCUAGGCCCACGGGUCAUUAGCUCCACCUUUACGGAGAAGCUGCACUAUGCAUGUCAGAAGCGGGGUAGGCAGGGAUGAGGGAAAGGACGGGAUAAGGAAAGAAAAGAUGUGCGCUGAGCUGAGCUGCGGGAGGGUAAACCUAACUACGUAACAAUGAGCAGGCUGUGAGAGGCUCCUUGCCCCUUGCAGAUUUGUGAAAAAUCAAACUUCCGCCCAAGAAGCCGGCAUUUCAGGUAGGGGCGAUGAUGUCACAAUCACAGGUUGAGAUCUGCUGCCCAGGCCAUGCUUGCUCCCCGCAGGCAGGCGAGAUUUCGGAACAGCCAGGACCUCCUCCGCAUGGGGGAACCGCUCUAGACGCUCAGAGGGGCGGAGUUGAAACGGGUGCCAUCGCCGUACAUCCUGGGAGCUGUACUCUCUUAAUCGCUCCUAGCCCCUUAGUCCCACCUCCGACUGAGCAGCUCGGUUUCCUCUCUUUAUCCUUACCCGCUGGUCUUUCCAUGACAUCGCGCCGCCUCCAGCCCAGGGAGCCGCCUGCUUUCCUAAAGUACUACGGAAACUGGCCUGAUGUCUGUCUGAGACAUUGUACAUUGUGCCACUGGCCUCUGCUUACUCCAGGCAGAGCUCCAGUUCAGCAGCAUUUGGGAGAAAUUUGCUGCCUGGGCCGCCCGUAAACAACUUGAGCUUUGCAGUGGGUAACAUGGGCUGUGGUUUGGUGAAAAUGUCGACCUCACUGACCCCUUUUUCGUGGAAGUGAAAGUUGAGACAUGAGGGACAGUAAUUAUUGGCACACUGGGAUCUGCUAAAAGCAGAGGAGAAAGCCCCAAUAUUUCCAGGCAUGUGUCUGGUGGGCCAUUUUCACCUACCCAUUUACGGAUCUAGGCCUCCAAAAAAUCAACCUAAACAUGAUGAUUGUUUUGAUAUUUUACACGUGUAACCAUGGGCCUCAUCUCACCUUAGACCUGACUGGCCAGUGUCUCAAAGACGUGGAUGGUGACCAGCUCUCUCCAGAACAGAUGGCGCUCCAGCUUUGUGGGAGAAACUUUCAAGUUGCAAGUUGGAUUUGUUACUCUCAUAUGUGGAUCUGGUUUCCAGGUGGUUUGGUGACUCUCAAACCAUGAUUCAGCAGACCUGUGAGGCUGUGAGUUCCCUAUCAGAACACAAUCUGCAGGUUGUAUUGUGCCAUAUAUCUGUGUCCAAAUUAUAAGCACAAUGAUGAAUCUUUUACUGGGAGUCAAGAUAUGUGCAGGAUGGUGAAACUUAUCACUGGACCUUUCCACAGUGUUAUUGUCACAUAUACCUUUGUCCAACAUGUGAGUGAUUUGACUCUGCAGACUGGGUCCAGUUCACAAACAAAAUUGUGCCAUAUACCUGGGCCAAGAACCUAAUAGGUAUGACUCAUGUGCCUGGGCCCUGCCUUCAGAAAGAUAGUGACAUUACACUGCACCCAGCACCUAAGAGGUGUGAUUCUCUUCUUCUACAUGGGGCCUGCCCACAGCAAGACUUGUGACAUAUCAAUGGGUGAUGUGACUAUCAUUUUUCUUCCUGGGCCCUGCCCACAUGGAUAAUUGUAACAUAUCACUGGCCCCAACUAUUAGGUGAUGUGACUCUCUUGUCUGGGAUUUGUCAACAAAGGACAUUGUGACAUAUUUCCUUUUUAUUUUCCCAGAUGGAGUCUUGCUCUGUUGCCCAGGCUGGAAUGCAAUGAUGCAAUCUCAGCUCACUGCAACCUCCAUCUCCCAGAUUCAAGUGGUUCUCCUGCCUCAGCCUCCCAAGUAGUUGGGACUACAGGUGCUGCCUUCAGGAGGGAUUAUGACAUAUGCCUGGACCAAACACCUGGAUGACGUGACACUCCUGCAUGAGCCUUGCCCUAAGGGGAUAUUUUUACAUGUUGGUGAACUCAGCAUCUAGGUGAUGUGACUCUACUCUUCUGCCUGGGCCCUGCCCACAGAGGGCAUUGGAACAUUUCACUUGGCUCAGCACCAAGAAGAUGUUACUCUCCUACCUGGACCUCUCCCACAGGGGACACCUAGAUGAUAUGAUUUUUCUUCCUGGUUCCUGCCCAGACUUCAAAUUGUGAUGUAUAUCUGGGCCCAAAACACAGGUAAGGUAAUAACUCUCAUAGCUAGACCAAGACAAUAGAGAGAUUUUGACUUUUGUAGCUAGGCUUAGAACAAUGGGUACAUAUUCCUGGCCCAGCUCCCAGGUGAUAUGACCCUCCUACCUAGUUAGUGCUCACAGGUGUGAUUGUUACCUAUGUUUGGACUCAGUUCAUUGUGAGCAUUGUGAUCACUCAUACCUGGACCUAGCCACAAAAAAAUAUGUUGACUCUUAUACCUCAAAAUAGGAGACUCAACCCACAAGAGGUGUUGACUCUUACACCUUUUGCUGGAAAAUGUCCAGGAUUGUGAAUUUCUGCUAUUGAUUGGGUCCAGGUAUGAGUUUCAUUGCUGUGCCUGAGCUGAGUUCAAAAUAAGUCACUAUCUCACCUGUGGCUGCAUCUACAUAUGACAGUCACAAUUCCAAGUCUGGAUUGCAUUUGUGUAUGAGACUUAGGACCUCACCAGUAAGCACUGUCUAUGUGUGAGGGUGACAAUUCUAUCAGCUGGAAGUGCAUAUGAGAGUCACAAUGUCACCUUUGUUCUUGGUCCUGUUAUGACAUUGUAUCACUUGAAGGCUUUAUCCAGACCCAGGACCUUGCCUGUUGCCCUAAGCCUAGAUAUCAGAGUCAAAAUCUGUUCUCUUAGCUGGAUCCAGGUAUGAGAGUCAACAUCUCACCAGUGAGCUGUGACCAUGUAUAUGUCACAAUUUCACCUGUGGGCAGGAACCAGACAUGAGAGUCAUAUCACUUGGGUGCUGGGUAAGUGAUACAUUACAAUUCUUACUUUGGGCAGGGUCCAGGCAACAGAGGAGAGACACAUCACCUAUAUGAUUGGCCCAGCGAUGGGUGAAAAUCCUCUCUGAGAGCAGGGCCCAUUCAGGAGAGUCAUAUCACCUAGCUGCUUGGCCAAGUGAAAUAUCACAAUGCACCCUUUGCACAGGGCCAAUACAGGACAGUUACAUCACCAGGGAGCUGGGUCCAGCUAUAUGUCACAAUUCCUUUUGUGGAAAGUGUCCAGGCAGAAAAGCAGAGUCACAUCACCUAGCCAGUGGGCCCAGAGAGAUGCCACAAUGCCAUUUGUAGGCUGGGCCCUGGGAGAAGAAUAACAUCACCCAGUUCUGGGCCCAGCAAUAUGUUGUGAUCCCAACUGGAAAAAGUUUCCAGACAAGAGAGGAGAAUCACAUCAUCAUGAUGAUAAGCCAAGAGAUUUCACAAUCCCCCCCUCUGCACAUGUCCCAGGCAGAAGACCUGAAUUACCUUUUUACUUAGGCCAGUAAUGUCACAGUGCUUCCUCAGGGCAGGGCACAAACAAGAUAGGACAGUCACAUCAUUAAGUGCUAGACUUAAUGCUAGAUAUGUCAUAACCUUACUUGUGGGCAGGAUCCAGGAAGGAGAGAUUUAUGUCACCUAGGUGCUCAGUAAAGAGAUAUAUUACAAUUACAAUUCCUUUGAGGGAAGUGGCCAGGCAAAAUAGUCACAUCACCUAGGUGCUUGGCCCAGGUAUAAGUCACAAGAUAUCUGUGUGUUGAGCCCAGAAGGACUAUCAAAUUACGAAGUUUCUACGUAGAAGUGCAUGUCACAGACACCUGCAGGAAGGCCCAGGAAUGAGACUCCCAAUUCCACACAUUUUCCCACUCCAAGUGUAAGAGUCAACAACUCCUGAGACUUAGGCCCAAGUACAUGAGUCACAAUCUCAACAGUGGAUUGCAUCCUGCCAUGAGAGCCCCAAUCCCUUCUCUAAGCUGUGUUCCAGUAGAGGAGUCACAACAUCAAUGGUGUGCUGAAUCCUGGUUGGAGAGUUCCCACUUCACCUGUGGACUGGAUCUGUAUAUGAGAGUCUCAAUUCCAGCUCUCAACUGCCCCUGGGUGUGAGAUUCAGGACCUCAAUUGUGAGCUGUGUACACAUGGACAUGUAACAAUUUCUACUUUUGGCUGUGUGUUCAUACAAGACUCAAUCUCAUCUGUGUUCUCGGCCCUGUUAUGACACUCUUUGUACCACCCAUGGGAUUUAUUCAAUACGCAUGGGUGUCAUAAUCCUCUGUGAUCUUCAUACAAGUAGAAGACCCAGGACCUUACCCAUGGCCCUAGGCCUAUCUAUGAGAAUUGACAUUUUUCCUCACAUUUUUAAUUUUAACAAAUAAGUUAUUCUCCUGUCAGUUCAGAUUCAUCAGGACAUUGAAUCAUAUUCAGAAGAAUUAAAACUGAAAGACUAAUAGGUUUGUUAAAGCAAUGCAGGUUGUCAUACUAAUAAACCCUAAAAUUUCAAAGGCUUAGCAAAAUAAUACAUUUUCUGCUUACAUCACCAUCCCCUUUGGCUUAUUUCUGGUUAAGAGAACUUCUUUGUGAUUAUUCGGAGAUUAGAUUUUUUUAAAAUUUCCUAUCUGCACUCUCUCUUUCUUCAGCCAAUAGAUGAAAAAAGAUGCAAAGAAGACACAUUUGCUUUUUAUGCACACAUCACUUCCAGUCACUAUGUUGAGCAGAGUCAGUGUGAGGACAAUUGAGAAUAGCAGUUUUCUGGCAGGACAGCCACUUCUCAGCAGAAGAUGACACAAUAAAAGUAUAAAUCUUUCAUGGGAGGCUCACAUAUUUUCAGCAAAUUAAGCAUAUGCAUGAAUAAAAUUCUUGUGGUAAAAUAAAGAUGCAUUUUGUUGAUUCCUAUGGAGCUCAGGUAAUAUUGGAUAAAAAGCAAAAAAAUUAUUUGAAAUAGUAAUAUUGUGAAUGAAGUUAU
RNAcentral lists this long non-coding RNA (5204 nucleotides) under Homo sapiens (human). Its description in RNAcentral is "HSALNT0341169". Lineage: Eukaryota; Metazoa; Chordata; Mammalia; Primates; Hominidae. The record is from RNAcentral.